UCUGGGAUUGUUCAGUCAGUAGAACUUGAGUCUCUUAAUCUCAGGGUUGUGGAUUCGAGCUCCACAUUGUGCAAAA
Molecule: non-coding RNA, 76 nt
Organism: Podarcis lilfordi (Lilford's wall lizard)
Lineage: Eukaryota; Metazoa; Chordata; Lepidosauria; Squamata; Lacertidae
Source: the annotation of a GenBank genome assembly